CCUGGGCAAUGGCGGGCGCCCCUCCCCCAGCCUCGCUGCCGCCUUGCAGUUUGAUCUCAGACUGCUGUGCUAGCAAUCAGCGAGACUCCGUGGGAGUAGGACCCUCCGAGCCAGGUGUGGGAUAUAAUCUCGUGGUGCGCCAUUUUUCAAGCCCGUCAGAAAAGCGCAGUAUUCGGGUGGGAGUGACCCGAUUUUCCAGGUGUUCCUGGACAGCAAGUGAGUGACUUGCUCACAGGCGGUAAUUCAGGGACCCAGGUUUCUUCUACCUGGUAGCUCUACUGUCCUUCAGAACCUCAGAGCCCUGUGCAUUCAGCCAGCAGGAGAAAGACCACUACUAAGGUCAUUCACUUUGGGAGAAGCCAGUCUUCAUGCCAUGAGGACGUUCAGGCAGCCCUGUGGAGAGAACCACAUGGAAAGGAUCUGAGGUCUCUCACCAGCACCAAUUUGCCAGCUAUGGGAAUGGGCCACCUUGGAAGGAGACUGUCCAGCCCAAGUGAAGGCUGCAGAUAACUGCAGCUUUGGCCAACAUUUGGCUAUAUUGCUUUGGGAAAUCUCAAGCCAGAACCAUCUGGCCAAGCUGCUCUUAAAUUCCUGAUCCACAGAAGUUUUGGAAGGUAAUAAAUGUUUAUUGUUUUAAGGCACCAAGUUUCAGGGUGAUUUGUUACCAGUAAU
RNAcentral lists this long non-coding RNA (672 nucleotides) under Homo sapiens (human). RNAcentral describes it as "HSALNT0407065". Lineage: Eukaryota; Metazoa; Chordata; Mammalia; Primates; Hominidae. The record is from RNAcentral.